UUGGUGUCUUGGGGAAGCAAGACUUUAAGCAUCUUUUGAAGUAAGUUGUUAUGUUUUUUUCUUUUUUGCCCUCUAAUGCUUUUUGGUUUGUUUAAUGAUAUGCAUAUUUUAAUUUUUUUUUGCCUGUACUGAAGGUGGAGAAUACAUAUAAGAAAAGCCUUGAUAGGAUCAGAGAAGACUGAAGUUGCAAAUGUUAAAAAUGAAGAAAAGGAGGAUGAAGAUGAUAGAGUAGUCAGAGAAAUGGAGGAGUUGACUCAUGUGUUGGAGUGUAAGAAGAAACGUGUGAAAAAGCUUCAUGCGAAAAGGCAAGCUAAGGAGAAAUUGCGUAAGGAAAUGGCUAUGCAAAUGGAUGGAGUGGAUGAUAGUUAUGUUGACCGCGAAUUGUUUUCCCUGUCUACCACCAAGGUUCGCUUUAAAUCAAAUUUCUUGUUCCUCUAAGAACAUAUAUACAUUCAUUCAUUAUUAUUAGGCCUAAAUUGAAUUCAUUUGCUUAA
This is a long non-coding RNA of Cannabis sativa, 494 nucleotides long. RefSeq lists it as uncharacterized. The record is from RefSeq and is a predicted model, not a curated record. NCBI's taxonomy places the organism in Eukaryota, Viridiplantae, Streptophyta, Magnoliopsida, Rosales, Cannabaceae. The transcript is spliced from 2 exons.